AUCCAGCUGAAUAGUCCCAAACCGGACAAAACGCGCGUCCUGAAU
This 45-nucleotide non-coding RNA is filed under the name Schistosoma margrebowiei. Lineage: Eukaryota; Metazoa; Platyhelminthes; Trematoda; Strigeidida; Schistosomatidae. The record is from RNAcentral.